CUCCAGGUUCUUGAUAGGUCGGAGCAGAUUAAGGCUUCGUUUGGAAUUGCGGGGAGAUUACAUUACGUGCGGUGAGAAACGACGAUGGAAAAAUACCAUAUUUGUUUCCGUACGUAAUAUUGCGUUCCGCAUAUUGUUAUAAGUCGGUUACGAUAUAUUUUCUGCGGUUCCACCGGAGAACGCAGAAGCAUAUCCCUAUAUAUUUUUUUCUCAACUCCAUUUUAUCUAAUAGCGUUAGAUAGAACUUAAUACCAAACUAAGCUUAAGACAUGUUGAUAUUUAUCAUUUUUUUUCGCCUUCACUUACUAUUCGAC
This 314-nucleotide long non-coding RNA is filed under the name Ananas comosus (pineapple). Its description in RNAcentral is "long non-coding RNA (ACOM_LNC010925)". Lineage: Eukaryota; Viridiplantae; Streptophyta; Magnoliopsida; Poales; Bromeliaceae. The record is from RNAcentral.